Non-coding RNA from Camellia sinensis, 154 nucleotides. The record is from RefSeq and is a predicted model, not a curated record. NCBI's taxonomy places the organism in Eukaryota, Viridiplantae, Streptophyta, Magnoliopsida, Ericales, Theaceae.
AUUGCCUCUCGAAUAACCGGACGGAGCAUGUAUACACAGUUGUCGUUCGGUCCAGACAAAGGCACAAAAUGAGAGAGAGACUCUCUCCGAAUCAAUUUGAGGAUAAGGAACUGUUCCAUUUCUCUAUUCCUUUCCUAGAUUGCUUCGGAUAUAU